GUUUGAUCCUGGCUCAGGACGAACGCUAGCGGCGGGCUUAAUACAUGCAAGUCGAGGGGGCGUUGCGGAGCAAUCCUCAAUGUCACCGGCGGACGGGUGCGUAACACGUAUGUAACCUACCUUUUACUAGAGGAUAUACCAUAGAAAUGUGGGGCAAUACUCUAUAUGCAGACGCUUCGGCAUCGGAGAGUUUGGAAAGGCAACGGUAAGAGAUGGACAUGCGUCUGAUUAGCUAGUUGGUGAGGUAACGGCUCACCAAGGCGACGAUCAGUAACUGGUCUGAGAGGAUGAUCAGUCACACUGGCACUGAGACACGGGCCAGACUCCUACGGGAGGCAGCAGUAAGGAAUAUUGGUCAAUGGACGGAAGUCUGAACCAGCCACGCCGCGUGGAGGAAGAAGGUUCUCUGGAUUGUAAACUCCUUUUGCCGAGGGCUAAGAAACAGCUAUACGCUGUCGUGAAAGUACUCGGUGAAUAAGCCACGGCUAACUACGUGCCAGCAGCCGCGGUAAUACGUAGGUGGCAAGCGUUGUCCGGAUUUACUGGGUUUAAAGGGUGCGUAGGCGGUUUUAUAAGUCAGUCGUUAAAGGCAGCAGCUUAACUGUUGUAAGGCGAUUGAUACUGUAGGACUUGAAUUAUUUCGAGGUUGUCGGAAUACGUAGUGUAGCGGUGAAAUGCUCAGAUAUUACGUAGAACGCCGAUUGCGAAGGCAGAUAACUAGGAAUAGAUUGACGCUGAGGCACGAAAGUGUGGGGAGCGAACAGGAUUAGAUACCCUGGUAGUCCACACUGUAAACGAUGGAUACUAGCUGUUGGGCGCAAGUUCAGUGGCUAAGCGAAAGUAAUAAGUAUCCCACCUGGGGAGUACGUUCGCAAGAAUGAAACUCAAAGGAAUUGACG
This 899-nucleotide ribosomal RNA is filed under the name uncultured bacterium. Its description in RNAcentral is "bacterial SSU rRNA". It matches the Rfam family "Bacterial small subunit ribosomal RNA", at positions 11 to 915 of the family's 1533-position model. The record is from RNAcentral.